Molecule: non-coding RNA, 72 nt
Organism: Planoprotostelium fungivorum
Lineage: Eukaryota; Evosea; Variosea; Cavosteliida; Cavosteliaceae
Source: the annotation of a GenBank genome assembly
GGCUCCUUGGCCAAGUGGUAAGGCGCUAGUCUCGUAAACUAGAGAUCGCGAGUUCGAUCCUCGCAGGAGCCU